GACGAACGCUGGCGGCGUGCUUAACACAUGCAAGUCGAACGGAAAGGCCCUGCUUUUGUGGUGUGCUCGAGUGGCGAACGGGUGAGUAACACGUGAGUAACCUGCCCUUGACUUUGGGAUAACUUCAGGAAACUGGGGCUAAUACCGUAUAGGAUCUCCUGCUGCAUGGUGGGGGUUGGAAAGUUUCGGCGGUUGGGGAUGGACUCGCGGCUUAUCAGCUUGUUGGUGGGGUAGUGGCUGACCAAGGCUUUGACGGGUAGCCGGCCUGAGAGGGUGACCGGCCACAUUGGGACUGAGAUACGGCGCAGACUGCUACGGGAGGCAGCAGUGGGGAAUAUUGCACAAUGGGCGGAAGCGUGAGGCAGAAGCGCCGCGUGCGGGAUGACGGCCUUCGGGUUGUAAACCGCUUUCGCCUGUGACGAAGCGGGAGUGACGGUAAUGGGUAAAGAAGCACCGGCUAACUACGUG
This 468-nucleotide ribosomal RNA is filed under the name uncultured bacterium. Its description in RNAcentral is "partial 16S ribosomal RNA". It matches the Rfam family "Bacterial small subunit ribosomal RNA", at positions 28 to 507 of the family's 1533-position model. The record is from RNAcentral.